This 468-nucleotide ribosomal RNA is filed under the name uncultured bacterium. RNAcentral's name for it is "partial 16S ribosomal RNA". It matches the Rfam family "Bacterial small subunit ribosomal RNA", at positions 28 to 507 of the family's 1533-position model. The record is from RNAcentral.
GACGAACGCUGGCGGCGUGCUUAACACAUGCCAGUCGAACGGAAAGGCCCUGCUUUUGUGGGGUGCUCGAGUGGCGAACGGGUGAGUAACACGUGAGUAACCUGCCCUUGACUUUGGGAUAACUUCAGGAAACUGGGGCUAAUACCGGAUAGGAGCUCCUGCUGCAUGGUGGGGGUUGGAAAGUUUCGGCGGUUGGGGAUGGACUCGCGGCUUAUCAGCUUGUUGGUGGGGUAGUGGCUUACCAAGGCUUUGACGGGUAGCCGGCCUGAGAGGGUGACCGGCCACAUUGGGACUGAGAUACGGCCCAGACUCCUACGGGAGGCAGCAGUGGGGAAUAUUGCACAAUGGGCGGAAGCCUGAUGCAGCAACGCCGCGUGCGGGAUGACGGCCUACGGGUUGUAAACCGCUUUCGCCUGUGACGAAGCGUGAGUGACGGUAAUGGGUAAAGAAGCACCGGCUAACUACGUG